Molecule: ribosomal RNA, 253 nt
Filed under: uncultured bacterium
Lineage: Bacteria
Description: partial 16S ribosomal RNA
Rfam family: Bacterial small subunit ribosomal RNA
Source: RNAcentral
UACGUAGGGUGCAAGCGUUGUCCGGAAUUAUUGGGCGUAAAGAGCUCGUAGGCGGUUUGUUGCGUCGGCUGUGAAAUCCCGAGGCUCAACCUCGGGUCUGCAGUCGAUACGAGCAAACUAGAGUGUUGCAGGGGAGACUGGAAUUCCUGGUGUAGCGGUGAAAUGCGUAGAUAUCGAGAGGAACACCUGCGGCGAAGGCGGGUUGCUGGGCUGACACUGACGCUGAUGCGCGAAAGCCAGGGGAGCGAACGGG